This 254-nucleotide ribosomal RNA is filed under the name uncultured bacterium. RNAcentral describes it as "partial 16S ribosomal RNA". It matches the Rfam family "Bacterial small subunit ribosomal RNA", at positions 524 to 776 of the family's 1533-position model. The record is from RNAcentral.
UACGUAGGGUGCAAGCGUUGUCCGGAAUUAUUGGGCGUAAAGAGCUCGUAGGCGGUUUGUCGCGUCUGCUGUGAAAACGCGAGGCUCAACCUCGCGCCUGCAGUGGGUACGGGCAGACUAGAGUGCGGUAGGGGAGAUUGGAAUUCCUGGUGUAGCGGUGGAAUGCGCAGAUAUCAGGAGGAACACCGGUGGCGAAGGCGGGUCUCUGGGCAGUAACUGACGCUGGAGGAGCGAAAGCGUGGGGAGCGAACAGG